This 778-nucleotide non-coding RNA is filed under the name Staphylinidae sp. BMNH 1274640. Lineage: Eukaryota; Metazoa; Arthropoda; Insecta; Coleoptera; Staphylinidae. The record is from RNAcentral.
UGAGAGUUUUAUUUAAGUUUAUUAAAUAAAUUUAUAAAUUAAAUUUUUAUGUUAAUUUUUGUGUUUAAUUUUUAUUUUUUAAAUAAGAAUAAAUUUAAAUUUAUUUUCAGUAUUUAGUAUUAAAAAUUUAAGAAAUUAUUAUUUAGAUAUUUAUAAGAGUAUUAACAAAAUUUGUGCCAGCAGUUGCGGUUAUACAAAUAAUAUAAUUUAUUUUUAUUAAUAAGUAAUUAAAUUAUUAUGAUUAAUUUAAAUGAUAGUUUAUUAGGUGAAAUUUUAAAUUAUUAAAUAAUUAUUUAUUAGAUUUUGAAGUUAUUAAUUUUUUUUAAAAACUAGGAUUAGAUACCCUAUUAUUAAAAUGUAAAAAUAAUAUAUUAAAUUAUUAAUAGUUAUAUUCUUAAAAAUUAAAAAUUUUGGCGGUAUUUUAAUCUAUUCAGAGGAACCUGUUCUAUAAUUGAAAAUCCACGAUUAGAAUUACUUAUUUUAAUAAUUUAUAUAUCGUCGUAGUUGAAUAUUUUAUAAGAAUUUAAAUAUUCAAAAUUUUUAAUUUAAAAAUUAAAUCAGAUCAAGGUGUAGUUUAUAAAUAAGAAGAAAUGGGUUACAAAAAAAUUUAUUUUUGGAUAAUUAUUUUAAAAAUAAUUUGAAAUUGGAUUUGAAAGUAAUUAAAUUUAUUUAGGUUUAAUGAUUUUAGUUCUAAAAUAUGCACAUAUCGCCCGUCGCUUUCAUUUAAGUUGAAAUAAGUCGUAACAAAGUAAAUGUACUGGAAAGUGUAUUUAGAUAG